GUCUAUGGACAUACCACCCUGAACGAACCUGGUCUCCUCUGAUCUUGGAAGCCAAGCGGGGUCGAGCCUGGUUAGUACUUGGAUGGGAGACCGCCUGGGCAUACCAGGUGCUGUAGGCU
Loxodonta africana (African savanna elephant) is the source of this 119-nucleotide ribosomal RNA. Lineage: Eukaryota; Metazoa; Chordata; Mammalia; Proboscidea; Elephantidae. The record is from Ensembl.